RNAcentral lists this ribosomal RNA (216 nucleotides) under uncultured Staphylococcus sp. RNAcentral describes it as "partial 16S ribosomal RNA". It matches the Rfam family "Bacterial small subunit ribosomal RNA", at positions 124 to 334 of the family's 1533-position model. The record is from RNAcentral. Lineage: Bacteria; Bacillati; Bacillota; Bacilli; Caryophanales; Staphylococcaceae.
ACCUACCUAUAAGACUGGGAUAACUUCGGGAAACCGGAGCUAAUACCGGAUAAUAUUUCGAACCGCAUGGUUCGAUAGUGAAAGAUGGUUUUGCUAUCACUUAUAGAUGGACCCGCGCCGUAUUAGCUAGUUGGUAAGGUAACGGCUUACCAAGGCGACGAUACGUAGCCGACCUGAGAUGGUGAUCGGCCACACUGGAACUGAGACACGGUCCAG